This is an RNA transcript of Nicotiana attenuata, 1325 nucleotides long. It is a transcript of the gene named ran guanine nucleotide release factor-like, with no coding region annotated. Lineage: Eukaryota; Viridiplantae; Streptophyta; Magnoliopsida; Solanales; Solanaceae. The record is from RefSeq and is a predicted model, not a curated record. The transcript is spliced from 8 exons.
CUCUUUCACUUGGAGGAACCCUAGAAGAAGGUGCAGCGCCGUCAGUCCCCACCGCUGCUUCACCAAGAUCAGCCGAAAACCAGUCCAAAACAGCCCGCAAAAAUCAGCUAAAACACAGCUGAAAACCAGCCACGAUACCAGCCUCAAAUCGCAGCAAAUCUAGCUGCGAAACAGAUCCAAAAACGACUUCGAAACCCUUCGAACUUGGCGUUCUAAGCAAGCGACUUUCAUUGAACUUGGCGUUCAAAGCAAGCGAGUUUUAUCUUCCUUGGCGUUCAAAGCAAGCACUGCUGUUGAGUUCGUAAUACUAAUAGUUUCCCCAUUGCCGUUGAGUUCGUAAUACUAAUAGUCUCCCCAUAUUUUUCUAGUUAUUUCUACUGACAACAAACAUUCUACUCCUAGUACAUAGUUUGAUACAUAGAUUUUAGCAUUAUUGAACAUGCCUGAAGACUCUUGUACUGACCGUGCUCUCUUUGGCGGCACUAUCUCUACCACUUUCCCUCUCCGUUUCCAGGAUGUCAGUAAUGUGCGUCAAGUUCCUGAUCAUCAGGAGGUGUUUGUGGACCCUGCGCGCGACGAGAGUUUGAUAAUUGAGCUUCUUGAUCUGAAGGUGGAUGUAGCAGACAGUGGAAGUGCCACCUGGUUUCUUCAGGACCUUGCAAAUGAACAAGAUGCAGAGGGAACUACGAUCAUCGAGCAGUCAGCAGUAUUUGAGGCUCCUGGAUUGUGCUAUAGAAACACGCCUGCUGUCAUCACCACUGCUGUUGCUCAAAUGGCCGUUUCUAAGGGAAGACAAGGUAGGGAAGCACAGAACUUGGUUAAGGUGUACCUGGCAAACCUUCGCCUUAAGGAUGUUGGGACGGAUAUUCUCAUAACUGCAUAUGAGCCUUUAUUAAUAAACCCCUUGAGUGAGAGUGCUAGCACAGUCGGGGCUGGCGUAGCUGUACCUGCUGCACAAUCUGGAAUUAUGCCGAUGGCUGAGGUUUUUAAAUUUGCAGUAUCUAGUUUCAAAGUUCAUGAUUGGAGCCUCUUUGGUACUGCUACUGGAGGUGUUGAAUGAUUUAAAUAGUCACACAAAUCUAGCAUCUCUUUGGGGAUUAUUGGUCCAUUUUUCAACAGCAUGAUUUUUGUGCAUAGUGCAGUGCAGUCCAUUUCUUUCCUUGGAUAAAAGCAGCAGCAAAUGGGACCAGAUGUCUCUUUACUUCCAAAUAUCAAAUGCAGCUCAGACAGAUAACAGAGUUUCAAAUAUAACUAGAAGGAAUGGAAAUUAAGUGGGACAUAAGAAAGGUAAAAUUCCAAAAAAAGUGAAAAAAAAAAAAAAAAAA